This 438-nucleotide ribosomal RNA is filed under the name uncultured bacterium. RNAcentral's name for it is "partial 16S ribosomal RNA". It matches the Rfam family "Bacterial small subunit ribosomal RNA", at positions 339 to 795 of the family's 1533-position model. The record is from RNAcentral.
CUACGGCGGCAGCAGUGGGGAAUCUUAGACAAUGGGCGCAAGCCUGAUCUAGCCAUGCCGCGUGAGUGACGAAGGCCUUAGGGUCGUAAAGCUCUUUCGCUGGGGAAGAUAAUGACGGUACCCAGUAAAGAAACCCCGGCUAACUCCGUGCCAGCAGCCGCGGUAAUACGGAGGGGGUUAGCGUUGUUCGGAAUUACUGGGCGUAAAGCGCGCGUAGGCGGAUCAGAAAGUUGGGGGUGAAAUCCCGGGGCUCAACCCCGGAACUGCCUUCAAAACUCCUGGUCUUGAGUUCGAGAGAGGUGAGUGGAAUUCCGAGUGUAGAGGUGAAAUUCGUAGAUAUUCGGAGGAACACCAGUGGCGAAGGCGGCUCACUGGCUCGAUACUGACGCUGAGGUGCGAAAGCGUGGGGAGCAAACAGGAUUAGAUACCCGAGUAGUC